UGGGGAAUAUUGGGCAAUGGGCGCAAGCCUGACCCAGCAACGCCGCGUGAGGGAAGAAGGCCUUCGGGUUGUAAACCUCUGUCCUUGGUGACGAAACAAAUGACGGUAGCCAAGGAGGAAGCCCCGGCUACCUACGUGCCAGCAGCCGCGGUAAUACGUAGGGGGCGAGCGUUGUCCGGAAUUACUGGGCGUAAAGGGUGCGUAGGUGGCCUUUUAAGUUGGAGGUGAAAUACCCGGGCUUAACUUGGGGGGUGCAGCUAAUACUGGGAGGCUAGAGUGCAGGAGAGGGAAGCGGAAUUCCUAGUGUAGCGGUGAAAUGCGUAGAUAUUAGGAGGAACACCAGUGGCGAAGGCGGCUUUCUGGACUGUAACUGACACUGAGGCACGAAAGCGUGGGGAGCAAACA
This 405-nucleotide ribosomal RNA is filed under the name uncultured prokaryote. RNAcentral's name for it is "bacterial SSU rRNA". It matches the Rfam family "Bacterial small subunit ribosomal RNA", at positions 355 to 774 of the family's 1533-position model. The record is from RNAcentral.